GAUGAAGAACGCAGCGAAAUGCGAUAAGUAGUGUGAAUUGCAGAAUUCAGUGAAUCAUCGAAUCUUUGAACGCACAUUGCGCCCUUUGGUAUUCCUUAGGGCAUGCCUGUUCGAGCGUCAUUUAAACCUUCAAGCUAAGCUUGGUGUUGGGUGACUGUCCGCUUCACGGCGGACUCGACUCAAAAUUAUUGGCGGCCGGUACAUUGGCUUCGAGCGCAGCAGAAACGCGAACUCGGGCCCGUCGUAUUGGCUCCCAGAAGCUAUCUUCACAAUUUUGACCUCGGAUCAGGUAGGGAUACCCGCUGAACUUAAGCAUAUCAAUAACGGAGGA
RNAcentral lists this unclassified non-coding RNA (331 nucleotides) under soil metagenome. RNAcentral describes it as "partial contains 5.8S ribosomal RNA, internal transcribed spacer 2, and large subunit ribosomal RNA". The stretch from base 1 to 120 matches the Rfam family "5.8S ribosomal RNA", at positions 35 to 154 of the family's 154-position model. The record is from RNAcentral.